This 382-nucleotide unclassified non-coding RNA is filed under the name soil metagenome. Its description in RNAcentral is "partial contains 5.8S ribosomal RNA, internal transcribed spacer 2, and large subunit ribosomal RNA". The stretch from base 1 to 120 matches the Rfam family "5.8S ribosomal RNA", at positions 35 to 154 of the family's 154-position model. The record is from RNAcentral.
GAUGAAGAACGCAGCGAAAUGCGAUAAGUAAUGUGAAUUGCAGAAUUCAGUGAAUCAUCGAAUCUUUGAACGCACCUUGCACCCUUUGGCAUUCCGAAGGGUAUGCUCGUUUGAGUGUCAUUGUACUCUCACACUUCUGAUCCUUUGGAUUGGGAGCGGUGGACUUGGGUGUUGCUGCUUUACUGUGGCUCACCUCAAAUGCAUUCGUCCAACUCUUGGUUGGACAUAGUACGGCGUGAUAAGUAUCUUCGCCGGCACCUCGCAAGAGGGUGGCUGAUCAGGAGCUCUGUGCUUUCCAACUGUCUUCAGACAACAACUGACAACUUGACCUCAAAUCGAGUAGGACCACCCGCUGAACUUAAGCAUAUCAAUAAGCGGAGGA